CACAUUCUGUACCCUCUUUAUCACUGAAGUCAGCAAUGGGCUUAAAAAUAGCUUUGGCUUCCACACCCAGGGUACCACUGAUUCACUAAUGGAUGGACAGACACUGUUCUGGACUCCUUACUUAUAGGGAGUUUUAGACCGAGACCCCUAGAGCAGACGCACAGAGUGCUGGGUGCGGCCUAGCGGAGGGGCUAUGCCAUACUGACUUAGGAACAGAGGUCUGCAGAUCUCAAAAGAAGGAAUGCUCAGGAAUUACAAAACCAAGAUUGAAGGUGCUGUCAUGCUGGUGACUCAAACAUGAUCAUCCUAAAAUGUCAUUAAGGGGAGUAUCUAUAAACUUGGGAACUGUAACGUGCUGAACAUACCAAAGAGGAGUGAUGUUACAAUGAUUUACAAGCCAUCGACCUCCCCCAGGACCUGGACUGGUUUGCAGAUACAAUAUAAAAAUAAGAUAACUUCAGAUCUGACAGGAGCAGCCCUAUCUGAAGGGAACACGAGGAAGAACAGGGCGCCUGAACACAGCUGAGGGCUCCCUCAGGGAGUGGCACGUGUGUCUGGAAAGACGAGCUGCAGGCGGGUCUGGUUUCAGUUUCACCCUGCAGGCCGAGGGAAGUCAGGAGCGGUGUCUGCAGGGGAGGAGAGGAACAGUCGGGCGGCGGAGUGGAACAUGGCCUUGCAGGGCCCCGGGCCGAGAGGCUCCCAGCCCGCCCUGGUGGAGAAGCACCUGUGAGGGGAGCACGGACGAGAAUCAUCAAGAGUCCGCCUCUCGCCAGGCCUGGAGGUAAGCGAGGCGCCGAUGGCCAAGGUCAUGGUGGGCAGCGCUCGGAAUGUGUGAGGGGCAGCGCCGGGCCUACAGACCUGGCCUCCGCGCACAAGGACUUGGGGGCAGGAAGCUCCUCCAUGCCCCCUUGGUCCUGGGCCCCACCAAGUGACUCAGAGCUGUGGGAUCACAACUCAGCCAUAAAACAGAAAACAAACGAGGAACAAGACAAGCCUCCUUUUAGAUGCAGGCUGAAAUUUGGGGAAAAGUUAUCAGAACAAAGAAAAACAGUGCCUGCUGGCCGGCCGGUUUCCUUUUACUCACAGGAAACCUUUCCUGCAGACCUAAGAGACAGCCCCCCCUGCUCGGAGACUGACUGUCGGUGCAGAAGGAGAGGGAAACGGCACCGUGAGUUAACCAGUGACAGACACCGAAGGAAUUGUGAGCCGGGGCGAUGCGAGCUGGCCCCGGCGCGUCAAGUCUGCAGCAAGAAGGGCCCUGGCGAAGCAUCGCCCACACCAAAGCUUGACGUCUUGAGCUCAGACGCUUCCCCGGGCACAAGCCACACAGAUUGGGGCCACAGACGGGACCAAAGACCUCAUUCCAAGAGGAAUGAGAACAUGACUGGGUCAGUUGACAGAACUGGGAUACAAACUGUUAGAUACAAGCUCUGGCAUCAGUGUCACGUUCUCUAACGGUGACUGCGCCGCACUGCAGAGAGGGCAUCCCGCUCUCAGGAAACACGCAGGACGCUCGGGGGAAAGCGGCACCACACGCCAGAACUCUGGCAUACCGGCAAGGCUCUCUGACCUCUGCUGCCCGGCACAGGGGCCACUAGCCUCAGGGAGAUGCUGAGCAAUGAAAACGUGGCCGGCGUGGUUGGGAACCGACUUUUACUUUUUAUUUCAUCCUAAUUUAAACAGCCACGUGUGGCCUGUGGCUCGUGUAUUCGAUGGUGCAGAAAUAAAGGGCCACGACAUCUUGAACGUACCUUCAAAUCAUUCCCUGCAAGUACAUGUAUAUGAAAAUAGACAUGCGUAUGUACACACACACACACACACACCCACGCACACGUGACGACAAAGAGAGCGAGCGAGUGUGCAUCCCUGCAAGCAGCAAUGGGGUAAAAUCAUAACUGGUGGGUCUGGCUAACGGUAUGGGGCUAGUCUUUCUAAGUUUUUGUUUUUGCACAUUUUCAGUAAGCUUACAAUUAUUUCCCAACAAAAUAUACAUUUUUAAUGUAUGAGGGUGAACAUUUAUUAAUCAAUGAAAUCUAACAGGAUCCAGCCAGAACUUACUUGGGGCAAGGAAGUUCAAGGCAUCCUGAAAUUCUGAGCAAACACAGUACAUCCCACAGAAAACUCAGUGUGUCCCCAAAGUGUCAUCCAAACCCAUCACCUGCGCCGCUUUCCAGCCGCAGGAUCAGUGCUGCUCCUCCCCUGCUGGGGGCCUUCCCACCUCCUUCCGCUCGACCCUUAGCCUGCACAGGUUCACAAAGGACCUGACCACAAACCUAUUAGCUCACCUAAUAACUUUGUCGACAUAAAAUUCACAUCCCAUAAAAGUCACCCUCUGAAGAUGCACAUCUCAGUGGUUUUAAGCGCCUUCGGUGUGUGACCGCCAUCACUACCCAACGCCAGCCGUUCCCACGCCUGACCCCCUGCCCAUCAGCAGCCGCUCCCUGCUCUCCCCCACUGCCAAGCCCCUGGCAAGCUCUCCCCUGCUCUCUGUCUCCACGGACUGGCCUAUUUGGGACAUCUCAUACAAAUGGUACUGCACGACAAGUGGCAUAUUGUGUCUGUUUUCUCUCACUUAACAUAAUUUUUUCAGGGUUCACAUGUGUCAUCGCAUGAGUCAGCACUGCCUGCCUUUUUAUUGCCAAAUAAUAUUCCGAGUGGACAGGGCUCGUUCGUUCACCCGCCCCUCAGCUGAAGGCCACCUGGGCUGCGGCCGUGCACAGCGCUGUGAGCCCGUGGACCAGAGUCUGCGGGGACGAUGUCUGCCGCUCGCCGGGGCAUAAGCUCCCAGUGGAGCUGCUGGGUCGUGUGGCCCCUCCAGGCUUGACCGCUGGAGGAGCCGCCACCCUGGCCUCUGACGCGGCAUCCCGACGUCCCCAGGAGCUGUGCCACACAGCGGUCCCCGUGAAAGCCCGCAGAUGGCCGCUCCACAGACACGGCCGCCCUCCUGCCAGCUGUGGGCUACUGCAGUCUGCAUCCGAAGCAGGAGGCAGGCUCUGCUGGACUCGCAGGACAUAAGCGAGGGAAGCCGGGCCUUGCUGGCCACCAGCCGCGGGCUCGGUCAUCCCAGCGUGGAGCAGGAGCCGGCACGUGGCGCGGCCGCCGAUGAAGAGGCUCUCUGUGCGGGGGCAGCUGCGGCGGGGGGCGAGCUGGUGCUCACUGGCUGUCCCCUCGCGUGGCAAAGCUGUUGGUGCUCCCGGUUGGAGCCUCAGGGGGAGUUAUUUACCUCCAGACAGUGCUCCUAGAACCGCCUGGCGACACCCCGGCAGGGUGGGGGCCUGGAGCCGGGGGCGAGGGCCAUGAGAAAUCCAGACGUCGAAAAGGCCGGCCCUUCGGGGCCUGCCACCUGUUAGCCCUGGGACCUCCCAGAGCGAGGGCAGGGACCAGUCCCCCGAGAUGGGAGCCCGGGAAGGCAGCCAGGCCCAGUCCCGAUGCAACUGGGAUACCCCACCGGGCACGUGGCCCCUCCAAGCUGGCGGUGAGCAGACGCCUGAGCUUCAUGUUGGGGCGCCGGACCGAACCGCUAGGCAGAAGUCUGAAUUCCAAAGCUACCUAAGCAAGUCUUGAGGCUGGGAAGAUGGGCUGGGGAGGCAGGGAUGAUUUCUAUGGAGAAGGGAAAGAGAGAUGUCCUGGAAUGGCCGGCUCCCCACUCUGCUCCCGUGAGAACUGGGGGAGCCCCCCCAGGAGCCAGAGGGAGCCCUGUGCUCUGCACUGUCCGUCCAUUUGCCGUGGUCCACCGUCCGUCACUGUUCCCGCCUCAGGACCAACUCUGUUGCCAAACCUUUUAAAAUAAAUUCUAUUCCAAAGGCCAAUGGCUACUGGUUUCAUAACGAGACCUCGGCCGCAGCUUUGUGUCGUGGGGGUGGAGAAAAGGAAGGCAGCCGGCCUGAGAUGCUGGAUAUGUCCUACCUUGGCCACAGCCUGUCCCCAGGGCCCCCGUCGAUCUAUACACAUUCUAGCCCAUCUCUCCAUCAUUUCUUCCUCGGUUCCAUGAACAGCAGUUCCCUAUAGCUCUGAAUGUUCCCAAGUAAUUACUCCUAACUCCUGCUCAUUCAUUCUUCCUGCCAUCAUUCAAUAAAUAUCAGUUGUGAUCUGUAUUCACUCUUGAUGUCUAAUAUGCUCAGCCUUACAAAAGUCCUAGGUAACGGGGCCCAGCAGCGCCUGCGCUGCUGAGAGCAGGCAAAGAAACACAGACUUGAUCUUCACGCUUACUGUCUCAACUAAUCCCCACAACUGCCCCUCAAGGUCACUACUGUUAUCCACACGUUACAGAAGAAGCAAGACACUCGGAGAGACAAACAGGCUCCACCGCCCUCAGUCACAUGCUAGUCAAAUGGCGAACCGGGUUCCUAUGCACUGCAGCGUUACUCUGAAGCCUGCCUUUUUGUCAUUAGUAGUAUUAAUGACAUUUCCAAUGCCACACACCCUCAUUCAAGCGUGACAAGAUUAUUAAUUGUAAAAAGAGCAAUGGAUCAAGAGUUAGAAAACUUGGUUUCAAGUCUGGCUCU
This is a long non-coding RNA of Lutra lutra (Eurasian river otter), 4505 nucleotides long. RefSeq lists it as uncharacterized. The record is from RefSeq and is a predicted model, not a curated record. NCBI's taxonomy places the organism in Eukaryota, Metazoa, Chordata, Mammalia, Carnivora, Mustelidae. The transcript has 3 exons.